UUGAACGCCGGCGGCAGGCCUAACCCAUGCAAGUCGCGCGGAUGAAGGGAGCUUGCUCCUGGAUUCAGCGGCGGACGGGUGAGUAAUGCCUAGGAAUCUGCCUGGUAGUGGGGGAUAACGUCCGGAAACGGGCGCUAAUACCGCAUACGUCCUGAGGGAGAAAGUGGGGGAUCUUCGGACCUCACGCUAUCAGAUGAGCCUAGGUCGGAUUAGCUAGUUGGUGGGGUAAAGGCCUACCAAGGCGACGAUCCGUAACUGGUCUGAGAGGAUGAUCAGUCACACUGGAACUGAGACACGGUCCAGACUCCUACGGGAGGCAGCAGUGGGGAAUAUUGGACAAUGGGCGAAAGCCUGAUCCAGCCAUGCCGCGUGUGUGAAGAAGGUCUUCGGAUUGUAAAGCACUUUAAGUUGGGAGGAAGGGCAGUAAGUUAAUACCUUGCUGUUUUGACGUUACCAACAGAAUAAGCACCGGCUAACUUCGUG
This 483-nucleotide ribosomal RNA is filed under the name uncultured bacterium. RNAcentral's name for it is "partial 16S ribosomal RNA". It matches the Rfam family "Bacterial small subunit ribosomal RNA", at positions 30 to 507 of the family's 1533-position model. The record is from RNAcentral.